GUGGGCAGAAGCACAGCACGGAGGGAAGGUGGGGCAGAAGCACAGCAUGGAGGGAAGGUGGGGGACAAGCACAGCACAGAGGAAGGGAGAGGGAUCAGGCUGCAGGCACGGAGGGGAAGGACACAGGAGGCAAGGCUGAGAGAAGGGAAAGCUGAGAGCAGCAAGCACGGAGGGGAAGGGAGUGUGUUCAAACUUUCAUAUUCUGCCAAAUUUUGUAAAAUGAAUAUGGUAAUAAGGGGGUCUGGCCACAAAAUGGGCAUGGUCAAAAAUGGUCGCUGCACGUUAUCAAGGUAGAUCUCCUGAUGGGGGCCAGGGUCGAGUAGAUCCCAGUGUAAUAAAGUCUACCACAAAUAAAAUCUAACAAAAUAACUGACUUUGGCACAAAUCCUGCAUGUAGAGAGAUACAAUUUCUGUCAAGAGUCAGGUUUUCUGAAAGCAUGAGUUCUAAUUACAUCUUUUUGGUAAAGUGAAGCUUUGGUAAAAGCUAGGUCUAGCUGUCCAUCUGACAACUCCUGCAUGAAGAGAUACUGCUGUGUAGAAGACUAAUUUCAUUGUUUCAGAAAAAGUCCAUGAUAUUUAAUCAAUUAUAUUUGGAAAUAUUCUUAUUUCUGUAAUAUUAAGAUUAUAUUCCAUUUUCAUUUUUGGGAUAGUUCAUCUUUAAAAGAACAGUAACAUCAAAAAAUGUUGUUUAAAUAAUUUGUUAGUAUACAUAGAAAAAAAAAAACACCAAGACAAAUUAAAAUCACAAAGCCUUUAUUAAGAAAUAACUUACCUAAACUACGAUUCCGCUCCAAUUCAGGGCUAUCAUAUAUAAGGAAGGCAGGGAGGAGAAAUCGAGCGCCGCACAAUGGAUAGCCAUUGACUUUCUGAAGAAGAGCGCAAGUGGAGUUUCGGGCGUCCACCUGGCUUUUAUAUUUAAUUUGUCACAGGUUACAAAAGAAUAAUUAAAUGUACAGACCAAGAAGUGGAAGGCAUUUAAGAAGCAGCCACUACCCGUAUUAUAGAAGAUAUACAUAUGACUCUUCUGAUUACUUUUCUAAAGAUGAUGAGCUGUUUGAUAUGAAGAGGGCAAAAGGACCUAUGCAGGCCAAUCCUCGAUAUGGACAUAAAUGUGACAUAAGUAUUUUUGUCUUUUUUAAAUUUCUCUAAAUAUGUUGACGCUUUAUAAAUGUGUUAAAAAUAAUCGGUAGUAUUGUACAUUGUGCCAGGCACUUCAGAACACCCAAUGGGAGAAAUGUAACCCUCAAACAAGCCCGAUUUGGUAAUCCCCAAGUCCAGGGAUACAUCAUUCACCCAAUGUAGCUGUGACUUAGCUUUCAUUUGAAAAGUUUGCAAUAGCAAACUAUACAACAUUCAAAUACCAAAUAUAGCAUGAGCUUCUGUAAAGAAAUAUGUUUUAAAGGGGUGGUUCAUCUUCAAGUUAACUUUUAGGAUAUUAUAGAAUGGCUAAUUCUAAGCAACUUUUCAAUUGGUCUUCAUUAUUUAUUUUUUUUAUAGUUUUUUAAUUAUUUAACCUUCUUAUUUUGACUCUUCCAUGCUUUCAAAUGGGGGGUCACUGACCCCAUCUAAAACAAAUGCUCUGUAAGGCUAUAAAUGUAUUCUUAGUGCUA
Molecule: long non-coding RNA, 1610 nt
Organism: Xenopus laevis (African clawed frog)
Lineage: Eukaryota; Metazoa; Chordata; Amphibia; Anura; Pipidae
Exons: 4
Source: RefSeq, a predicted model, not a curated record